UAGCUGGCCCUUAGUGAGUUCUAUCGGGUAAAGCCAACGAUUAGAGGCAUCAGGGGCGCAACACCCUCGACCUGUUCUCAAACUUUAAAUAGGUAGGACGGUGCGGCUGCUUCAUUGAGCCGGGCCACGGAAUCGAGAGCUCCAAGUGGGCCAUUUUUGGUAAGUAGAACUGGCGAUGCGGGAUGAACCGGAAGCCGGGUUACGGUGCCCAACUGCGCGUUAACCUAGAACCCACAAAGGGUGUUGGUCGAUUAAGACAGCAGGAUGGUGGUUAUGGAAGUCGAAAUUCACUAAGGAGUGUGUAACAACUCACCUUCCGAAUCAACUAGCCCCGAAAAUGGAUGGCACUUAAGCGCGCGACCUAUACCCGGCCGUCGGGGCAAGAUCCAGGCCCCGAUGAGUA
Molecule: non-coding RNA, 403 nt
Filed under: Gossypium hirsutum (cotton)
Lineage: Eukaryota; Viridiplantae; Streptophyta; Magnoliopsida; Malvales; Malvaceae
Description: Eukaryotic large subunit ribosomal RNA
Rfam family: Eukaryotic large subunit ribosomal RNA
Source: Rfam by way of RNAcentral